AUUAUCUUCAUUUCCCUAAUUGUUGGUUCCAAAAUGUAACACCCCGUAUUUUUUUUAUACCCGUUAAAUAAUUAUCUGUAUUAAUUUAUUUAAUGAAAAUGAUUUCAGAUUUCUCUUAUUAAUAAUAUAUUUUUUUUACUAACUUUGACUUUACCUUUGAAGUGGUUAAAAAAGAAAAAAACUGAUUCCUAGAUUUACUAGGUUACUAUCUAAUACUUAUCACUAUAUUAGGAGAGAGAAAGUGAAAAAAAAAAAAAAAAACUAAAAGAACACAAAGCAGAAGAAGUUCUGCUUACCUCCUCCAAGGCUCCAACGUGAGUAUUCUUCCAUCUACAAAAAAAAAAUUCCCUUAACCUUCAACAUCAUAGAUGUUACUAAAAUCUUCAUCUUCCAUCUUCACACUUCAAGUCUUAUCCAUUCUUCUUCAAUAGCUUCAGUUUUUGUGAGUUUUCAAAGGGGUUAUUAGUGUGCUUUGGUUUGCGAUUUCGGGUCAAGAAUCGAAUCAAAGGGCGGUUUUUGGGGUUCUUCUUAUAGAGUCAUCUCAUUAUAUUACUUUUCCUAAUCAAAUUGCGGGUUCGUAGAGGAACCUUUUUGACUUGAGAUUGAGAUUUGCUAACUUUGAUUGCUGAUAAGGGACUUGAAGAUAGUUAGCUCCAGUUGGGUUAAAGAGUGUGUUGGAUCCAUUUUGAUUUAGUAGGACUUUAAAAAGACUUCCGCUGUUAUUUAUUUAUAGGAUUAUGUUCUGGUUUGUAAUAAUUAACUUUACAUUCUAUUUAGUUGGUCUGUAAUAAUUAGUUAAAACUUUUGGUUAUUGUUUUAGUUAGAACCAUUAGCCUUGCGGUUAUUAUUAUUAAUUAUCGCGGCGUAGCACCUUUGGAUUUCCGAGUUAAUUUUAUUAAGUUGAUUUUAGAAGUAUUGGAAA
Long non-coding RNA from Beta vulgaris subsp. vulgaris (sugar beet), 922 nucleotides. RefSeq lists it as uncharacterized. Lineage: Eukaryota; Viridiplantae; Streptophyta; Magnoliopsida; Caryophyllales; Amaranthaceae. The record is from RefSeq and is a predicted model, not a curated record. The transcript has 3 exons.